RNAcentral lists this ribosomal RNA (494 nucleotides) under uncultured bacterium. Its description in RNAcentral is "partial 16S ribosomal RNA". It matches the Rfam family "Bacterial small subunit ribosomal RNA", at positions 28 to 507 of the family's 1533-position model. The record is from RNAcentral.
GACGAACGCUGGCGGCGUGCUUAACACAUGCAAGUCGAACGGUGAAGCGCCUUCCUUUUUGGUGGGUGUGGAUGAGUGGUGAACGGGUGAGUAACACGUGAGUAACCUGCCCCCUUCUUCUGGAUAACCGCAUGAAAGUGUGGCUAAUACGGGAUAUUCUGUGUCUGUCGCAUGAUGGGUCUGGGAAAGAUAUUGUUUCGGUGGGGGAUGGGCUCGCGGCCUAUCAGCUUGUUGGUGGGGUGAUGGCCUACCAAGGCGGUGACGGGUAGCCGGCCUGAGAGGGUGGACGGUCACACUGGGACUGAGACACGGCCCAGACUCCUACGGGAGGCAGCAGUGGGGAAUAUUGCACAAUGGGCGCAAGCCUGAUGCAGCGACGCCGCGUGAGGGAUGGAGGCCUUCGGGUUGUGAACCUCUUUCGCCAGUGAAGCAGGCCUGCCUCGUUUGUGGGUGGGUUGACGGUAGCUGGAUAAGAAGCGCCGGCUAACUACGUG